GACGAACGCUGGCGGCGUGCUUAACACAUGCAAGUCGAGCGGGAUCCAACCGGUGGCAACACCGGGGAAGAUCUAGCGGCGAACGGGUGAGUAACACGUGAGCAACCUGCCCCGAAGACUGGGAUAACACCGGGAAACCGGUGCUAAUACCGGAUGUCGUCAUUAGGCCGCAUGACCUGAUGAUGAAAGGAUUCAUCGCUUCGGGAGGGGCUCGCGGGCUAUCAGCUUGUUGGUGGGGUAACGGCCUACCAAGGCGACGACGGCUAGCUGGUCUGAGAGGACGACCAGCCACACUGGGACUGAGACACGGCCCAGACUCCUACGGGAGGCAGCAGUGGGAAUCUUGCGCAAUGGGCGAAAGCCUGACGCAGCAACGCCGCGUGGGGGAUGAAUGCCUUC
RNAcentral lists this ribosomal RNA (399 nucleotides) under uncultured bacterium. RNAcentral's name for it is "bacterial SSU rRNA". It matches the Rfam family "Bacterial small subunit ribosomal RNA", at positions 28 to 419 of the family's 1533-position model. The record is from RNAcentral.